RNAcentral lists this long non-coding RNA (391 nucleotides) under Cavia porcellus (domestic guinea pig). Its description in RNAcentral is "lncRNA (ENSCPOG00000030330.1)". The record is from RNAcentral. Lineage: Eukaryota; Metazoa; Chordata; Mammalia; Rodentia; Caviidae.
UUAUGUGGCUCACUUUGGGCUCUCUAUGUUCACAGGUCUGGCCUUGCAUUAGCCCAACAUAUGUGAUCCAUCUCCAACUUCAGCCACUUCGUACACUUGGGGACUUGGAGGUUCACAUGUCCCCCAAAUUCUGAUGGCCCAUCUCCAGAACACUAAGCCAUGUGACAGCAGGCAGCAAGGUGCAGAGGCAGCGCAAGAAUUCCUCGCUCUACCUGUUCGGUGUGUCAUGUUCUUGCUACUGUCACAGAUGACCACGAGGAAGGACAGUCCUCCUGUGACAGUGAGCCAAAGUGCCAAGGCAGAGGCCCCACUCCUUCUGCUUCCAGGUCCUCCUCUGGAAGAAUUAAGUGACUGUGGUGGUGGUGAGGUGACUGGCCAGAGGAGGAGUUAA